UGGAGCCUGCGGUUUAAUUGGACUCAACGCCGGGCAGCUCACCGGAUAAGACAGCUGGAUGAUAGCCGGGCUGAAGACUCUGCUUGACUAGCUGAGAGGAGGUGCAUGGCCGUCGUCAGUUCGUACUGUGAAGCAUCCUGUUAAGUCAGGCAACGAGCGAGACCCACGCCAACAGUUGCCAGCAUGUCCUCCGGGAUGAUGGGGACACUGUUGGGACCGCCUCUGCUAAAGAGGAGGAAGGAAUGGGCAACGGUAGGUCAGCAUGCCCCGAAUUAUCCGGGCUACACGCGGGCUACAAUGGUCAGGACAAUGGGUAUCGACACCGAGAGGUGGAGGCAAUCUCCUAAACCUGUCCUUAGUUCGGAUUGUGGGCUGCAACUCGACUGCAUGAAGUUGGAAUCGCUAGUAAUCGCUGAUCAGCAGGCAGCGGUGAAUACGUUCCCGGGCCUU
RNAcentral lists this ribosomal RNA (450 nucleotides) under uncultured Methanolinea sp. RNAcentral describes it as "bacterial SSU rRNA". It matches the Rfam family "Archaeal small subunit ribosomal RNA", at positions 889 to 1338 of the family's 1478-position model. Lineage: Archaea; Methanobacteriati; Methanobacteriota; Methanomicrobia; Methanomicrobiales; Methanoregulaceae. The record is from RNAcentral.